Lycium barbarum (goji berry) is the source of this 990-nucleotide long non-coding RNA. RefSeq lists it as uncharacterized. The transcript is spliced from 2 exons. NCBI's taxonomy places the organism in Eukaryota, Viridiplantae, Streptophyta, Magnoliopsida, Solanales, Solanaceae. The record is from RefSeq and is a predicted model, not a curated record.
UACAUAAAGAUCGAGCACUUGGAGCAGCUCAAAGUCAAAUCAAGGUUUCUAUAGCAAUGGAAAUCCUCAAAGUUCAAGGCUCUUGAAUAGAUAUCUAUUAAUCAGUUAGUAAUUAGAAGGUUGAGUGUUAAGGAGUUGAAACUAAUAAACUUUUCGUGUUGUAUGAUAGCUGGUAAACUGAUCAGCUACCUCUUGUAUGUUUACUUUACAAAAAGAAUAGGCGGACGGUGUAUUUUUAAGAUUUAUGAUGUUGGAGAUAGGUGGGGUAUAGGAUGGUUGGGUCAGGAACACAUUUUCUUUUGUUUAAAAUGAUUUUUGGUUAAAUUGAUAUUUGGCCAACACAAAUGACACCAAUGUUCUCUUCUUUUUUUAAGUUGUCGUAACAGUCUAAACUACCAUCAUGUAGUGGUAGGGCGACCGUGAUUAUGAUUGAAGAGGUACUCCCCUUGGUAACUCUCCUCGGUAAUUACAAGAAACCUUCUCGAUUCCGCCGAAGAAAGUGUGUAAGCCCUUAGUCAGAGUAUGUGGGGAUCACAAGUAUUAGGCCUAAGAGGUGGAACAAGAGUGUUGAAGAAGAACGAAAUGGGUGUAAUUCAUGCUUUUAAAUGCAAGGACACGAGGAGAAUUAUAGCACUCUUUGCCAACAAUUCAGCAGAAUGUCCAGUUUUUUGGUGUAACGUGCAGUCAUGUAAAAUGUCUCAGAAGGCAUUACUCGAGGUCAUGAAAGGAGAAGCUAUCCCCAUUUCCUUCGACCCAUCAGAGCUGAUUGGUCUCAAACAAACCUUUCCUUUAUGGAUACCCAACUGAAAUACUGACUUAUCAACUGCAGCUGCUAAAAAUCAGAUUUCACACAACCGUGGCAUGCCUCAUACAUAAAUGGGCCACGUACGUUUUACUGCUUUUGCCUUUCUAGCAAGCUCAAAGUAUAGUUGUAUAACUUUGUUCCAUAACUGAAUGUAUAUAAUAUGAAGCAUAUUAUCUUAAUAUUUA